GAUGAACGCUGGCGGCGUGCUUAACACAUGCAAGUCGAACGGAGUGCUCAUGACGGAGGAUUCGUCCAACGGAUUGAGUUACUUAGUGGCGGACGGGUGAGUAACGCGUGAGGAACCUGCCUCGGAGUGGGGAAUAACAGCCCGAAAGGGUUGCUAAUACCGCAUAAUGCAGUUGGGCCGCAUGGCUCUGACUGCCAAAGAUUUAUCGCUCUGAGAUGGCCUCGCGUCUGAUUAGCUAGUUGGUGGGGUAACGGCCCACCAAGGCGACGAUCAGUAGCCGGACUGAGAGGUUGGCCGGCCACAUUGGGACUGAGACACGGCCCAG
This 325-nucleotide ribosomal RNA is filed under the name uncultured bacterium. Its description in RNAcentral is "bacterial SSU rRNA". It matches the Rfam family "Bacterial small subunit ribosomal RNA", at positions 28 to 334 of the family's 1533-position model. The record is from RNAcentral.